This 465-nucleotide ribosomal RNA is filed under the name Vreelandella stevensii. Its description in RNAcentral is "partial 16S ribosomal RNA". It matches the Rfam family "Bacterial small subunit ribosomal RNA", at positions 338 to 795 of the family's 1533-position model. The record is from RNAcentral. Lineage: Bacteria; Pseudomonadati; Pseudomonadota; Gammaproteobacteria; Oceanospirillales; Halomonadaceae.
CCUACGGGUGGCAGCAGUGGGGAAUAUUGGACAAUGGGGGCAACCCUGAUCCAGCCAUGCCGCGUGUGUGAAGAAGGCCCUCGGGUUGUAAAGCACUUUCAGUGAGGAAGAACGCCUGGUGGUUAAUACCCAUCAGGAAAGACAUCACUCACAGAAGAAGCACCGGCUAACUCCGUGCCAGCAGCCGCGGUAAUACGGAGGGUGCGAGCGUUAAUCGGAAUUACAGGGCGUAAAGCGCGCGUAGGUGGCUUGAUAAGCCGGUUGUGAAAGCCCCGGGCUCAACCUGGGAACGGCAUCCGGAACUGUCAAGCUAGAGUGCAGGAGAGGAAGGUAGAAUUCCCGGUGUAGCGGUGAAAUGCGUAGAGAUCGGGAGGAAUACCAGUGGCGAAGGCGGCCUUCUGGACUGACACUGACACUGAGGUGCGAAAGCGUGGGUAGCAAACAGGAUUAGAUACCCUUGUAGUC